GACGAACGCUGGCGGCGUGCCUAACACAUGCAAGUCGAACGGAACUUCUUUAAAGGAUUUCUUCGGAAUGAAUUUGAUUAAGUUUAGUGGCGGACGGGUGAGUAACGCGUGAGUAACCUGCCUCUAAGAGGGGAAUAACAUUCUGAAAAGAAUGCUAAUACCGCAUAACAUAUAUUUAUCGCAUGGUAGAUAUAUCAAAGAUUUAUCGCUUAGAGAUGGACUCGCGUCCGAUUAGUUAGUUGGUGAGGUAACGGCUCACCAAGACCGCGAUCGGUAGCCGGACUGAGAGGUUGAACGGCCACAUUGGGACUGAGACACGGCCCAGACUCCUACGGGAGGCAGCAGUGGGGGAUAUUGCGCAAUGGGGGAAACCCUGACGCAGCAACGCCGCGUGAAGGAUGAAGGUCUUCGGAUUGUAAACUUCUUUUAUUAAGGACGAAGAAAGUGACGGUAC
This 454-nucleotide ribosomal RNA is filed under the name uncultured bacterium. RNAcentral's name for it is "bacterial SSU rRNA". It matches the Rfam family "Bacterial small subunit ribosomal RNA", at positions 28 to 478 of the family's 1533-position model. The record is from RNAcentral.